RNAcentral lists this ribosomal RNA (484 nucleotides) under uncultured bacterium. RNAcentral describes it as "bacterial SSU rRNA". It matches the Rfam family "Bacterial small subunit ribosomal RNA", at positions 43 to 524 of the family's 1533-position model. The record is from RNAcentral.
CAGGCCUAACACAUGCAAGUCGGACGGGAUUCAGGAGCUUGCUUCUGAUGAGAGUGGCGCACGGGUGCGUAACACGUAUGUAACCUACCUUUACCAGGGGGAUAGCCUCUCGAAAGAGAGAUUAACACCGCAUAAUAUCACUUUAUAGCAUUGUAGAGUGAUCAAAUAUUCAUAGGGUAAAGAUGGGCAUGCGGAACAUUAGCUAGAUGGCGGGGUAAUGGCCCACCAUGGCGACGAUGUUUAGGGGAUCUGAGAGGAUGGCCCCCCACACUGGUACUGAGACACGGACCAGACUCCUACGGGAGGCAGCAGUAAGGAAUAUUGGUCAAUGGGCGGAAGCCUGAACCAGCCAUGCCGCGUGCAGGAAGACGGCCCUACGGGUUGUAAACUGCUUUUAUACGGGAAUAAACCCUGAUAUGUAUAUCAGGCUGAAUGUACUGUAAGAAUAAGGAUCGGCUAACUCCGUGCCAGCAGCCGCGGUAAU